RNAcentral lists this ribosomal RNA (17 nucleotides) under Carduus nutans. RNAcentral's name for it is "partial 28S ribosomal RNA". The record is from RNAcentral. Lineage: Eukaryota; Viridiplantae; Streptophyta; Magnoliopsida; Asterales; Asteraceae. RNAcentral also lists the same sequence under 3 other names.
CGACCCAGUCAGGCGGA